GUGCCAGCAGCCGCGGUAAUACGUAGGUCACAAGCGUUACCCGGUUUUAUUGGGCGUAAAGCGUCUGUAGGUGGUUUUGCAAGUCUUGUUUCAAAGACCUCGGCUCAACCGAGGGCAGGGGCAGGAUACUGUAAGACUAGAGUGAUAUCGGGGUUACUGGAAUUUUUAGUGUAGGGGUAAAAUCCGUGGAUACUAAAAAGAACACCAAGCGCGAAGGCGGGUAACCAGGUAUUUACUGACACUCAGAGACGAAAGCUAGGGUAGCCAAUCAGAUUAGAGACCUGAGUAGUCCUAGCCGUAAACGAUGUAUGUUAAUUCUCUGCAAUUUAUUGUGGGGGAUGUAAGCUAACGCGUUAAACAUACCGCCUGGGGAGUAUAGCCGCAAGGCCGAAACUCAAACGAAUUGGCGGGGAGGCGCACAACCAGUGGAGCAUGUGGUUCAAUUCGAUACAAAGCGAUGAACCUUACCUGGGUUUGACAUGUAUCUGCAAACUCCCAGAAACGGGAGAAUCCUUCGAGGGUGAUACACAGCUGUUGCAUGGCUGUCGUCAGCUCGUGACGUGAGUUGUUCUCUUAAGUGAGGUAACGAGCGCAACCCCCAUCCGGUGUUACUGUGUCACCGGAGACUGCCUAGCAUUAUUUUGUUAGGAGGAAGGAGGGGACGACGUCAAGUCAGCAUGAUGCUUAUGUCCAGGGCUACACACAUCCUACAAUGGGGAGUACAAUGGGUCGCAAAACCGCGAGGUGGAGCUAAUCCCACAAAACUUCCCUCAGUUGGGACUGCAGGCUGAAACUCGCCUGCACGAACCCGGAAUUGGUAGUAAUCGCGCAUCAGCAGCGCGCGGUGAAUACGUUCUCGCCUCUUGCACACACCGCCCGUC
This 881-nucleotide ribosomal RNA is filed under the name uncultured bacterium. RNAcentral describes it as "bacterial SSU rRNA". It matches the Rfam family "Bacterial small subunit ribosomal RNA", at positions 505 to 1398 of the family's 1533-position model. The record is from RNAcentral.